AAAGCAAGGUCAUCCGGGAGGGACUUUGAGAAGAGGUGCUGCUCCACUACAUUGAGAGAAGCCAGAUGUGAUGGGUCUGGCACCUGGUGGGGUGUUCCAGGCAUGUCCCACCGGGAAGAGAUCCCAGGAACUCCCAGGAGACGCCGGAAAGAAUACAGCAACAGUAAUUCAUACUCAAGGUUGACAGAACUCGAGGACAUCUCACCAAAUACCCUGUUGCUUGGCAGAGCCACACAAAGUGGAGAUUCCGGAAAAUCUAACUACACAAGGGACAGGUGUUAAGGUGGGAAGUCUCAAGAAACCAUGGUGUCAUGAUAACCAUCUGCCCCACUGCUCCCACCGGGCAAUGUGUAGUGGUGGUGUGUUGGUCAAAAGUUGUAUGACACACUGAUAAAUGCAUCAGGAACGUAUGCAUUGGUAUCACUGGUCUUACAUGUGACUGUGUUUCCAUCCACAGCAGAGGAUGUACAAUUGGUCACAUCCAUCUUUUGACCUCCCCUCAGUUUCUCCCUAAGGCAAAGGUUCUCUUAGAAAGAUGGAGAUCCAACAUACAUUGAUGCAAUAGACAUCCCAUGAGGCGUACCAUAUGAAUAUAAAUUGGUUAACCGGAAUGCUACAGGAUGGGAAUCCCUUUUGUCAUGGAUAACCCCAAAUAAAAACAUUGACAGAAUCAACUACAUACAUUACAAUUUACAGAAACUAGGUAACUAUUUGGAAGCAGGCUUUAUUGCCAUCAGAGAACAACUAGCUGCAACCUCACGAAUGGCGUCCCAGAGCCGCAUAGAGCUCAACUUGCUCCUGACCGAGAAGGGUGGCGUCUGUUCAAUGUUCGUGAUGAGUGUUGUACGUUUAUUCCAAAUAACAUAGCACCUGAUGGGUCACUCACAACGGCCAUUGGGGGCCUCCACACCCUGAACCACAAGAUGAAGGAGCACUCUAGUGUGGACACAUCAGCCUGGUCUGAGUGGUGGGGAAAAAAACAUUUGGUAAAUAUAAAAACUUGGUGCUCUCUGUCUUGCUUUCUAUAGCUGUAUUUGCAGCUAUUUUUACAUUGUGUGGAUGUUGUUGUAUUCCCUGCAUAAGGGCGUCAUUUAGCCGACUUAUAACCACUGCAAUUUCCCCGACAAAUUCAAAAUUGGCAGAAAUAUAUCCACUAUCGGCACAGCAGGGUGAUGACAGUUAUAUUGUUAACCACGAUGAUGACAUUAUGACAUGACAUUCCUGACCUGUUCUCUGAUUCAGAAGAUUACUAGUGAUUAGUGCUAUAUUUUCCUUCGAGUGCAACCAUGUUUGUUUUCAUAAAUAUGAUUCUGAAGAACAGGGGUGCCCAGACUUUUUUACCCCAAGAUCUACUUCUCAAGUAUCCAGCCUCUCACGCUCGAUGGGGGGUGGGGGUGGGGGGAUUUUGAGGGUUUUUUUUUUGUUUUUUUUUUUUAAAUGACCAAUGAUGAAAUAGAAUGACCAAGUUACAAAGAUCUACUCACUACAAAAAUGCAAAACACAUUUAAGUGUUUAUGUGCCUUGCAUAACCGCAUGAGCCAAUAUUACACAACAUAAUUAAGCAUUUUUUUAUGAAUAUCUGAGUUCACGCUAAUAAUCACUAAACACCAUACGAAUGAAAAUGCACACCUGGGCUGUGUCACUCACGUCGGUGGAUUUGUCCAACUGCAGUGAGGAACACAAUCUCCGAUGUCCUUCCACACAUCAGCCAUGGCUUCACAGUGCCGCGUAACUGUACCCCUGUACAGCUGCACAGAUUUUAUUGAAGAUAAUAUUUCCGCCUUAUUUUUAAAAGAUCGGAACAACGAGUCAGCUCUGCCUCUUUAUGUGUGAUGUGAUGAACCCGGAAACGAUGCUUCGAUGACUGCUGUGCAGCCAAUUGGGAUUUUAGUUCGUUCACUUUUCUCAUUCUCAGCUUGCUUUUCGGCCUAAUGUUGGUGUUGUAUUUUUCAUCAAAAGUUCAAAAAUGCCGUUCCAGAUUUCACUACACUGGCAGAUGAGGCAAACGCGCUUCAAAAAUGACGUGAAAGAAUCGUGAAAAAAAGUCCACCUCCCAUUCCUUUUGAAAGUGAUACGUUUUCUCUUCUUUACUCCAGCAUCCAUACUUAUGUUUGUUAAGAUUUCUUAAGCGAGAGCUUAAAAUGGGGGGAGGGGGGAACGACUCGCUGACAGCGUGUUUUCCUGUACUGCCGUUGUUUGCACAAGUGCGGUGAGCUUAAGUUAAAAAAAUAUGGCUGAUGUCUUUUCUUUUUUUUUCUCGGUCCGCUAUCACGAUCAACGCAUUGAGCACCCCUGCUGUAGAAUAAAUCUGAAAGGGUGAUCUAUUAGAUUAUGUGAGGAUUUGAGCAAAUUGUCAAUAUAAUUAGGAAACUUCUACUGCUUGCAGUGAAGAAUGCUCUGCUCCGCUCCAAUUAAGAAACUGUUUCUGCCUGCAAUGAAGAAUGCUUUGCUCUGCUCCAAAUGAGAAACUGUUUCUGCCUGCAAUGAAGAAUGCUUUGGUCAGCUCCAAGUAGGAAACUGUCUCUGCCUGCGAUGCAGAAUGCUUUGCUCUGCUCUGGAUAACGUGGCAGCAAAUGUAGGAUAAAUGGGGGAAAUAUAAGAAUAAUUGUGAAUAUAAUUACCAUACAUCUGCUUCCAAUAAAGAAAUACUUUGCUCUGCUCUAGAUAUCGUGGCAGCCGCUUAGCAGAAGAUAGCAUAAGAACAUCUAAUCAUCAGAAGUGUUAGAACCAGGAGCACCUGUUGUCUGUUAAAGAAAUGAUUACCACACAUGUACUCAGCAAUCUCCCACAAAGAACUUGAGCCAAUUCUUCCACCCACAUGCUUCGUGGGAGCUGCCUCAUGGGAGAUUGAGCAAGUUGUCAAGGAGGCCCAAAACACCCAACCUGACCCCAAGACUGAGCCCACUGACUUCCUGUUUGUCCUGGAUUUGGCACGUUUCAAAGUCCUGCAAAGGGCCUAUAGCUCGAAGCUAACUUGUGACAUCAUCAUCCAUCCACCCCAAUUCCUCCAGCAACACUUCUGGUGGCCCAGCCUCAUUCAAGACACCCGAGAGUUUGUUCAAGCCUGCACUGUCUGUGCCCAUGGCAAGCCCUCGCACCAGGCCUAAGCCGUUCUGCUCCACCCUUUGUCAAUUCCAAGUCGCCCAAUGUCUCACAUCGCCGUAUACUUUGUCCCCAGCUUCCUCCCUCUGAAGGUAACACUGUCAUCCUCACAGUAGUUGAUCACUUUUCUAAAUGUGUCCACUACGUGUCCCUUGCGAAGUUCCCAUCUGGCCUGCCAACCGCUAACCUCCUUGUGUCUCCUUUCAUGGUUUGCUAUGGUUACCAGCCCCCAUUCUUUAGGUGACUGGAACAGGCAGCGGUGUUUCCCACUGUCAAGAAUCAUCUCCAGAGGGUACAACCUGUAUGGAAAGACGUCCAAGCGGCGUUGAACCGGUCGAGCGGACGCAAUAAAAGACCCAAAGACCGUCAUCGUUCCCAGGCAUCUGACUACAAAGUAGACCAGUCUGUCUGGUUCUCUUCUCAUGACCUCCCACUCCAAACCGAAUACUAUAUGCUCACCCUCCGGUUCAUUGGCACAAUCCUGACUACCAAGGUCAGUUGAAGCUUCCUCCAUCCCAACCAACCUCUCCACAAUAAGAAAGCAUUGACUGCAAUCCAGCUACAUUGAGUCCUUCCUUGUUUCAACUGUGGAAAAAUUAGACAGACACUAAAAUAUAAUAGCUAUAAAAUAUGGCGAUCGCACAGACAUAACACACUCUUGAUUUAAAUUCAACGCAGAAACCAUAUUAAGCCUAAUUUUUCACCAACUAUCAGUUCUCUAAAGUGAAGUUAACAUACCUUAAAUGUGAACCUCUUUCUCAUUAUUUUAAUCCAAACAAUAUCCGUGAAUUGGAUCUCUCUCCAUGAUACUUGCUUAAAGAGGUGGCAUCUGCACUCCGCCUCAUAGUAUAAUUGUGAGUUGUCAUGUUUACACUUACUACACAAAGAGUAAUGUUUCUUACAUAAGGCACACUGUCUUGAAAAUUCUAAUUUUCAAAUUUAAAUAGGCAAGACUUGCCAGGUUUUAUGAUUCAUUUCUAAAGAGAGGCAGGUUCUCAAUCCUAUAAUUGCGAACCUCAGUCUGACUCAAGUCAAGCAUUGUGACCUCUACCUAUGAUAAAAAAAAAUUCUUGGACUUGAGGAUGAAGCUGUUGGUUACCUUCUGUGGACUGGACCUCUGAAGGAAGAAUCAAACUUGUGUGGCUCACCUGAGGAAGUUAAAAAGGUAAAACAUUUAUAACUGUCAUCCAAAAUCAUCCCAGGAGUAAGACAGCAGAAAGUCUCCUUGUAAUACAAUAUGUAACUUCAGGGUUGACCACAAUAAAUGCUUCAAAGUCAGGUAAAAAAAGACAAUAGUCCCCUCAUAACUCUAGAUGAGUUAUAACAUUGAAGACUUUGGGAUACUAAUAUUUUUUCGACAACAGAGCCGUGCUCCUGGUUUUUCAUGCCAAAUAAGUGGUUUUCAAUGAAAUGGGGUACACCCUGGACUGGUUGGCAGUCAUCCAGAGUUGACAUUUAGAUACACAAUGGUGCACAUUCAAGCCAAUAGGUAGUUUAGAGUUUUUAAUUCAUAUCCAUAUUUUCAGAAUGGAGGAUGAAACUGCUGUAUGUCUGAAAAAAACCCUUGCAAGCACAGUUAGAAUACAUAAACUUCACACCCACGUUCCAACAGAUUUGAACUUGGAUCUCCUUCAAACCACAAUAUCGUUGUGCUCACAAUAUCGUUGUGCUCUCAGUAUGAAUAGUAAGUAAAGUUGUUUUAUAGUAUCCUGUAGUUUUUGGUUGUAACAAAGCUUCUUCGCUUCGAGGUAGCAGAGCUGAGUAUAUGGGUUAUGGGCAUUAAAAUUGUCAAAGCUCUAUUAAUGCCAACCUUCUUAUUUUGCUGUUGCAUUAACACUUGUUUAGUGGAUUGGAUGAUCAAACUUUGAAUCAACUAGAAAUAUUGCCAAUUAAAGAAUUUAUUAAGUUAACAAUUAGUAUCUUCAGUAUUGUUUGGAACAAACAUACACACCCAUAAAAGCCUGGCACCUUCUCAUGGUGGUGAUACACUACUGUGAAAAGGCAUCUCAUUUUUAAUCCAGCAUUUGCCACAGGUCAGCCAAAAUUGUUGUGCGUCAUGUACAAGUUGAUCCUACAAGUGUUGUGAAUGGGGUCGAGCUCAAGACAUAUCAUCAGAUCCAUUCUCUAAUCGCAAGGACAGCGUUCAAUCCCAUAUUGUGGAGAUAUGUGAUAGCCAGUGGUUGGAAAACUUAACCUCAAUAUCGCUGUAAUGAUUCUGUAUUAUCUCCAGGAACAAUAAGUAUCGUUUUCGUUUUUACAAUGAGGGAAAUUACUCUACACAUCAUUACGAUGGCUCCACCAAAAGAUGUUACGCUAUCAAUUCAGCAAGCAGCAUACAAAUCUGUGUUUUCCCCACACUUGACACUAAAAUCCAACUGCUGUAGGCUGGAUCUGGACUCAUUACUAAAGAGACUGCAAUAGUCCUCCAAGUUCACCUUUCAAAGCAAGUGUUGCCAAAACCAGCAAACCUAAAAAAAAAAAUGAAAAAAGUCAAUGUCAAGGACAAAAAAAAUGCUUUGCAAUGGCAGAAGAUUUGCCAAUAUUUUUCAAGGAUACAGCCUACUGUAUCUAUACUGUUACUAUUAGCAACCCACAAUGUGCACUGGAGUGCACUGUGCGUGUUGCUGAGAUGGUGAAUGAGAGUGUAGGCUUCCAUCCAUGACCUGUACACCUUAAAAGGCCCAGCAGAAUGCAGGUCAGAUUACAUUUUACCCUACAAACCCUGGUGACAACCUGUUUGACACUCUCCUCAGGCACCCUGGUGAAAACCUGUUUGACACUCUCCUCUCAGGCACAAGGUCAUUGUUCAUUUGAUCUCAAGCCUCCCAUCACAUGAACAUCUUAAUUCUCUCAGCCAUCAGACUCAUGAAGAAGACGCUAUCACAGAUUAAAACUUCACAGCCACACCCGAUGCGUAUUCAGCACAAUUUAUGCUUUUUACACAUUAUAUAUUUUCCUUUUUCUUAGUCUGUUCAUACUUGAUUUUUUUGUCAUUUUUAAGUGCUU
This is a long non-coding RNA of Syngnathoides biaculeatus (alligator pipefish), 6108 nucleotides long. RefSeq lists it as uncharacterized. The transcript has 3 exons. The record is from RefSeq and is a predicted model, not a curated record. NCBI's taxonomy places the organism in Eukaryota, Metazoa, Chordata, Actinopteri, Syngnathiformes, Syngnathidae.